UAUUUUAAAGGAACAAUAAUGAGUGAAGCAAGUAAAAUGAGGGACAAAGACAAAAGAAGGAAAGGCUAACAUUUAGCAAGUGUUUGUACGUGGAUGUAUAUAUGUAUGUCCCCUUCAAUGUCUCAAGUAUUGGCAUUGUCACCGGCCGACCAAACCCUUCAGCAGUUCAGACUUAUUUCACAGGAAGCUCCUGAUCAGUUAUAGACACAGACAGCACCCUAUGCCUAUGAUAGUAAUUAGUUGGUAGGUUGGGGACUUGGGAGUAGUGUUUUGUUUAUAUUCAUAUAAAAUGGAGAAAAUGCGAGCCCUGGCGUGCCUGGAAACGUCAUCUUUUGAUCUCCUCUAACCUCAAUGAUGAAUCCACAUCUCUUCUUCUUCUUCAUGUCGCUUUUAUCCUUCUCUUCUCAAAGUUUAAAUAACUAGGUCC
RNAcentral lists this long non-coding RNA (427 nucleotides) under Panax ginseng (ginseng). Its description in RNAcentral is "long non-coding RNA (PGIN_LNC001979)". The record is from RNAcentral. Lineage: Eukaryota; Viridiplantae; Streptophyta; Magnoliopsida; Apiales; Araliaceae.